Long non-coding RNA from Piliocolobus tephrosceles (Ugandan red Colobus), 6130 nucleotides. Lineage: Eukaryota; Metazoa; Chordata; Mammalia; Primates; Cercopithecidae. The record is from Ensembl.
AGAUGCGCAACAAAACGAAACCAAAUUGAUAGAUCCAAGCGAAAUAAAUAAUGACAAAAAAAAAAAACACAGCAAAGAAGACGGCAAAGGGAACAUAAAAAAUGACACCAAAAAUGACAUAAAAAAUGACACCAAAAAUGACACAACAAAUGACAUAAAAAAUGACACCAAAAAUGACACAAAAAAUGACACCAAAAAUGACACCAAAAAUGACACAAAAAAUGACACCAAAAAUGACACCAAAAAUGACACCCAAAACGAUGAUAGUAACAACCUUAACUACAGCUUUAUUGAAAAUGUGGAAAAAAAAAAACUAAAAAUAAGUAAUAAAUAUAUAAGUAAAAAUGAAGACAUAUGUUAUAGCCUCAUCAACCAAUACCAUAAAGACGUUGAUGAUGAAAUUAAUGCUAUUAAAAAAGAAACAGUACAGAGUACUCAUACAAUUAAAAUAGAUAUUGAAAACUUUUUUAUAAAUAUACAAAAACUUGUAGACGAAGCAAUUAAUAUAAAGUGGUCAACAACUAACGAAACUGUUUAUACUUUUAAUCAAAUGAUUGAAAACCAUCAACUUGCAAUUGAUUAUUACGAACAUUUAUUAAGAAAUACUGUAAACGAUCAUAUUCUUUUAGAUAACAACAUACGGUGCGACUUAGUCGAUGAAUCUGAAUCUGAUAGUAAUAGUAUUUCUAGUAGUAAUAAGGAUGAUAUGGAUCAACAUAUAUGUAGACACAAUAAAAAAAAAAAGAAUGACAACACAACUCUAUUAAAUAAAAUAUUUAACGAACUUAAAAAACAAAUAGAUAACAAACAAAACAAAAUAAUAGAAAUAUGGUCAACUAUUCAAAAACUAUUUACAAACAUUAAUAGUUAUAUAAAAAUAUAUAUAACAAGCUUUGAAAAAAAAUACCAAAAUUUAGUUAAAAUAAUAAAUAAUAGAAUAAAAGAAUUACAAAAACAAUUAAAAGAAAAAAUAUUUUUUACCAUAACACAAAUAGACGAAUUAAUAUUUAAUGAAUAUAAUAGUAAUAAAAAUUUUUUUUUAAGUUUUUUAAUAAUUUUAAUAAUUAUAUUAUAAAAAUCUAUAAUUAUAUAUAUACCAUAUAUACCAAAUAUGAAUACAUAUGUAAUAAACUAAUAAACUAUAAUAACUAUCAAACCAACUGUUAUUUAUAUUCCAUAAUCAGCACUAAUUAUGCUCAAAAAUUAAUAAACGAACCAAUCAUCUUACAAUUAAUUCAUAUGUUAAAAAGUAAUUAUAAUAGUAUAUAUAAAAAAAGAAGUGAUUUAAGAAAAGAUUUUUUUUUUGAAGUCUUUUUUGCACAUCUUCCGUGUGAGUUUGCAAGAGAACAUCUUAUGACCAAAAAAGUCCCAAAUAAACAAACAAAAGUUCAAGACAUCUAUAUUUUUUUAAAUAACUAUUAUGAACAAUAUUUAAAAGAAUAUGUUAAAAUUAAAAAAACUCUAUUAUGGUACAUGCGUAUUGGUUCUUGUACUUUUUUUGACCUUGAUGCAUUUUUGUCUAUACUGGGAUCUAAUGAUAAAGACAUUGAUGAAGAAAAAACAAGGACUAAGACUGUGACUAAGACUAAGACGCGAACAGAGGAUUUGCGUGCAAAAUGUAGAGAGAAGUACAGACCAAAGGGUAGAGAAAAAUACAGUACAAAAUACAAAACAAGUGAGCAUGAUAAAAACCUAAACCAAGUUAAGAACGGCUUAAUUGAAAAAAAUACCGAACCAAUCGAACUAACUUAUUCAUCCAAACAUGUAAAUACGAAAGGUUUAACAGCACAAAAUGAUAAUAAUAAUAAUAAUAAUAAUAAUAAUAAAAAUAGUGCUAAAUAUGCCAAUGAUAUAAACAACCAGACACAAAACGAGCCUAUUGAUGAGACUGCUGUGACAAAUACUAUACAUUUAAGUGAAGUGGUAAAAAGUAAUAGUAGAAAAAGUAUAAGUAAAAGUGGUCAUACAAAUAAACAAGAAAAGAAAAAAAAAAAAAAAAACAACAACAGCAAUAAUAACAAGGGAAAUAAGGGGAACAAACAUAAACAAAAACACAAACUCAAAAAAAGAAAUAAAAAAAGUAAGGAAGCAGAAAAUGGAAUAAGUAGUGAUGGUGAAAAUGGUAACGAUGGUGAAAAUGGUGGCCAUGGUGAAAAUGGUACCCAUGGUGAAAAUGGUACCCAUGGUGAAAAUAGUACCCAUGGUGAAAAUGGUAGCCAUGGUGAAAAUGGUAGCCAUGGUGAAAAUGGUAGCCAUGGUGAAAAUGGUGGCCAUGGCAAAGAAACUAACUAUAACGAACGCAGUAGCAUAAAUCGCAUUGACACAAAUAAAACUUUUUUUUAUAAUUAUAUAAAUAACAUUUUAUUAUAUUACAAUUUAAUAAAUUUGCGAGAUGACUAUUUUCUUUUAACAUUUUUUGAAUAUCUCGAACAAAUAAGGACGCAUAUCACAUUAUUAUAUUUUGAUGUAAAUAAAAAAAUUAAUCAAUCUAUCAAAACGUGUGCUGAUAUAAAUAAAUCGUUAAACACAGAAUAUUGUCAGCUAUUAAAAGACUACAAAGCAAAUGCUGAAAAGUGCCUAACAAGCAAUGAUUACAUAGAACUACAUAAUUGUUUACCUACCUAUAAUGAAAAAAAAAAAAAUCUAACAAACUUUAUAAAAAAUUUAGAUGAAAAGAAAAAAGUUAUUAAUAAGAGUUGUAUUGACCAAGUAAAUGAGCUUGCAUCCUUUUUUUUUUAUUCUGUUUUAAAAAUAUCGAAAAUAGUAGCUAGCGAUAGUGAAUGUGAAGGUGAAGAUGAAGAUGAAGGUGAAGAUGAAGGUGAUGAAAAAGGAGUCGCCAAGACAGAUUCCGAAAUUGACUUAGUAGAGAAAGAUAAAAAAAAGAAAAUAUCAAAACAUAGAAAAAGUAAAAAAAAAUAUAACCAUAGUAAUAAUAAAAAUAAGAAUCACUCAAAAGAUGAUAGUUCAGACGAACAAUCGAGCGAAGAAGAUGAUAAAUUACCACCAAAAAGAAUAGACGACAUAAAUAUGUUAACUACAAACCAAAACCUAACUAAUGUAACUGAUACAAUACACAAAAAUUCCGAAGUAGACAUAAUUAAGCAGCUAGUUAGCAACAAAUAUAAAUAUAUAUACAUUUUUGAUAAAGUCAUGAUGCACAUUUUUAAUACUUAUAAAGGUAACAUAGAAAGUGUUUUUUCUGAUAUCGAACAUAACAAAUAUAAGGAAUCUUUUUUAUUAGCACAAGACAACAACAACAGCAACAACAGCGAUUAUGAUGAUAAUAAUGUUUAUAAUAACAACAAGAAGCAUGAAAAAAGAAACAAUUUUGAUGUCCAUAUAUCAAUAAAAAAAAACGUAAUAGAAAUUAAAAAAGAUAUAAUUAAAAUAAAUAACAAAAAUAAAGAAAACAAUAUAAUUAGUUCACCUUAUCAAAAUCGUGAACAGCAAGAACAAAACGAUUGCAAAAAUGAGAGUAAUGACAUAACAAAUAUCAAUGAUGAAACAGAUAAACAAACAAAUGUUUCGAAUCAAAUGUUUUUACAAGAUGUAAUGAAUUAUAAAAACAUAUUGUUCGACUAUAGGCAACUAAAACAGCAUUAUGAAUCGACGAUAAAAACUUUCUAUGAGCAGUUUAAAAGCAUGCUUUUUGUAUAUUUAUUAAAAAUAUACAUGGAAAUAAAAAAAGAAGAAUAUAUAAAAGGUAGCCAUGUUUUUAGGGAACCGCAAUCGGGUAAACAUAAAAAAUUGGAAACCGAAACAGUAGCCAACGAAACAGCCAACGAAACAGCCAAUGAAACAGUAGCCAACGAAACAGUAAACAACGAAACAGUAGCCAACGAAACAGUAGCCAACGAAACAGCCAACGAAACAGCCGAAAUGAUAAGAAAAAACGAUUCGAUUAUUAAUAAUUUAACAAAAGAACUAAAAACAGACUUUGAUAAAAAUACAAAAGUAUUUGAUAAUACGAUAAAAAAAUUAAACGAAUUAUUGGUUGAAUAUAAACCUAUGAUAGAGGACACUAAUAAUAAAAUAGAUAAAGAUAUAAUUAAUUAUGUUAGCAAAAUAGAAGAAUUAUUUAUAUUAGAAAAACGACAGUUGAAAUAUGAACAACACCUUGAACAAACACAAAAAAAAUAUAAUAGCUUGUUAGACAAACUGAAACAAAACUACAAAAAAGUUAAUAAUACAAUAAAUAACAUGGAUAACAACCUAAGCAAAGAAAUUAAAAAAACACAACAAUAUUUAAAAAUGAUAAUAGAAAUUAAAAAAACAAAUGUUAAUAUAGAAAAUAUAGAAGAAUGUAUAAAAAAAGCAACUGAUUUUAAAAAUAAUAUAUUGUUAAAAAAAAAACAAGAUAUAAAGGAACUUUACAAUCAAAACGUUAAUAUUUGGAAUAGUAAAAUCAAUUUUAUGAUGACACAAAGGGGUGAAAAUAGCAGCGACGAAGAUGGUGCUUGUUUAAAUAAUUAUGAUAGUAAUAACAUUAGCUGUAAUGAUAAAAAUGGAGGUAGUAGUAAAGUAAAUAACGGUGAAAUGGUAAACUACUUAUCUAUUAAACAAGAAAUAAAAAAUAGUUUAACUAUCUUUUAUAUAUUAAUAUAUUAUAUUCAAAAAACAUGUGGAUUUUAUGGCAACAAUGAAAAAGGAAAUAAACAGAACGCAACAAAUGGCACAAAUGGCAAAAAUGGCACAAAUGGCACAAAUGGCACAAAUGGCAAAAAUGGCAAAAAUGGCAAAAAUGGCAAAAAUGGCAAAAAUGGCAAAAAUGGCAAAAAUGGCACAAAUGGCAAAAAUGGCAAAAAUGGCACAAAUGGCAAAAAUGGCACAAAUGGCAAAAAUGGCACGAAUGGCAAAAAUGGCACGAAUGACACGAAUGGCACGAAUGACACGAAUGGCACGAAUGGCANNNNNNNNNNUGGCACGAAUGGCACGAAUGGCACGAAUGGCACGAAUGGCACGAAUGACACAAAUGGCACGAAUGGCACGAAUGACACAAAUGGCAAGAAUGGCAAGAAUGAUAAAUCCGCUUUGACGGAUAAAUAUAAAAAACAGACUCUAAAAAGCAAACGAUCUGUCAGUUUUACCACGAAUUAUGAUAGUAGUGACAGUAACAACAACCAGUUAAACGAAGAAGAAAAAUUUUUAGAAAUGCAAAAAAAUAUAUACAAAAUAAAUACAUAUGAAAAAAUAAAAAAUAUAUAUGAACUACAUAUAAAUAAACCAAGUACAAAUGGACAAAAAUUACUUUCAACCGAAUUUUCCCUAACUAAUAAAUUAUCAGAGAAAAUAAAUGAAUUGACUUUUUGUUUAAAUACCGAGUCGGUACAAAAGGACAAGUCGCAUAUUUCAGGGGAUACUCUAUACAUGAUGCAUGACAAACUAAUUUCGCUUGACAUAUACAACAGUGGUUGUUUUGAAUAUAAGGAUCAUGGUAACUUAACAGGUGACUCUAACACCGUCACUAGCUAUGACAAAAACAAUGGAAAAAAUAAUGACAAAAGCAAUAAAAAAAAUGACAAAAAUAACGACAAAAAUAGCACUGGUGACUCCAAAACAAAUAUAAAAAACGGUGCUUCAAUUCUAAGCAGCCCGGAAGACAUAAAAGCUUAUAUAAAAAAUAUAUACACAAAAAGCAAAUAUUGCGACGUGAAAUUUUAUUUUUAUACAUGUGUUUAUAUUGUAUAUAUAAUUGGAAAAAUAAUGCAACAUGUUGAUAACUAUAGUAACAAUAAGAACAAAAAAACUAACGAUAAAACUCAUACAUACGAUCAUCUACUAUUUAUAUCAUAUGACCUUUCUUAUUUACUUUAUAAUGAUUAUAUAUUACAACAAAAUAACACUCAAAAAAACAAUUUUAUUAUAAAAGAUUUACAAAUACAUCAAAAUAACGGCAUGUCCACUUUUAUAUAUUUACCGUCAUGUCAAAAUAUAAAAGAAAUGGAAUUAACAAAAUUGUACAAUCUUGAAAAACAAAUAGUGUCAAACUGUUACUCAAACAAGUUGUCGAUUAUUAAUUAUGUUAAUAAAAUUAAUGAAAAAAAAAAUAAAUAUUUUAACAAAUUAUCGACGGAGGUAAUCAUCAACUUGUUUUUUUUAUUAUUUCUUUAUUGUACAAGUACUUUAACAU